Molecule: ribosomal RNA, 492 nt
Filed under: uncultured bacterium
Lineage: Bacteria
Description: partial 16S ribosomal RNA
Rfam family: Bacterial small subunit ribosomal RNA
Source: RNAcentral
GAUGAACGCUAGCUACAGGCUUAACACAUGCAAGUCGAGGGGAAACGUCAUCGAAAGCUUGCUUUUGAUGGGCGUCGACCGGCGCACGGGUGAGUAACGCGUAUCCAACCUGCCCAUCACUUGGGAAUAACCUUGCGAAAGUAAGACUAAUACCCAAUGACAUCCCACGAAGACAUCUGAAUGGGAUGAAAGAUUUAUCGGUGAUGGAUGGGGAUGCGUCUGAUUAGCUUGUUGGCGGGGUAACGGCCCACCAAGGCAACGAUCAGUAGGGGUCCUGAGAGGCAGGUCCCCCGCAUUGGAACUGAGACACGGUCCACACUCCUACGGGAGGCAGCAGUGUGGAACAUUGGUCAAUGGGCGAGAGCCUUAACCAGCCAAGUAGCGUGCAGGAUGACGGCCCUGUGGGUUGUAAACUGCUUUUAUAAGGGAAUAAAGUGGGUCUCGUGAGACUUUUUGCAUGUACCUUAUGAAUAAGGACCGGCUAAUUCCGUG